Molecule: small nuclear RNA, 321 nt
Filed under: Sarcophilus harrisii (Tasmanian devil)
Lineage: Eukaryota; Metazoa; Chordata; Mammalia; Dasyuromorphia; Dasyuridae
Description: 7SK RNA
Rfam family: 7SK RNA
About the family: 7SK was discovered as an abundant small nuclear RNA in the mid-70s but a possible function has only recently been suggested. Two independent studies have found that 7SK RNA binds the CDK9/cyclin T complex (known as elongation factor P-TEFb).
Source: Rfam by way of RNAcentral
GGCUGUGACUUCAUUUGGCUGUGACAUCUGUCAUUCCAUUGAUCUUGAGGGUUGAUUUAGCUGAUUUGAAUAGCUAGAUGAUGUUCCCUUCCUCCCUCACUACUCCAUAUGCAUCUCUCCCAAAGUGUGGACUCAAUUUAAGAAAACAUCUUCAAUUCUUCUUUCUUCUUCCAAUGACUUUCUUCAGUCAAGAAUAUAUGAGUAGGUGCAUUCCCCUACUAGAUCAAGUUCUCAAGAUUUAUUUGUAAGAGAAUAUAGGCUGGGGCAGCUACGUGGCACAGUGGAUAGAGCAACAACCCUGAAAUCAGGAGGGCCUGAGUU